This is a non-coding RNA of Schistosoma mansoni, 46 nucleotides long. Lineage: Eukaryota; Metazoa; Platyhelminthes; Trematoda; Strigeidida; Schistosomatidae. The record is from Rfam.
GCACUGCUGAAGAGCUCCACAAUAGGACGAAACGACCGUCCAGUGC